UGACCCGGCGAUGUCCGAAUGGGGAAACCCAGUGCAAUCCGUUGCACUAUCGUUAACUGAAUACAUAGGUUAACGAGGCGAACCGGGGGAACUGAAACAUCUAAGUACCCCGAGGAAAAGAAAUCAACCGAGAUUCCCCCAGUAGCGGCGAGCGAACGGGGAGCAGCCCGGAGUCUGAAUCAGCUUGUGUGUUAGUGGAACGGUCUGGAAAGUCCGACGGUACAGGGUGAUAGUCCCGUACACGAAAAUGCACAUGCUGUGAACUCGAAGAGUAGGGCGGGACACGUGGUAUCCUGUCUGAAUAUGGGGGGACCAUCCUCCAAGGCUAAAUACUCCUGACUGACCGAUAGUGAACCAGUACCGUGAGGGAAAGGCGAAAAGAACCCCGGCGAGGGGAGUGAAAAAGAACCUGAAACCGUGUACGUACAAGCAGUGGGAGCCUCUUUAUGGGGUGACUGCGUACCUUUUGUAUAAUGGGUCAGCGACUUAUAUUCUGUAGCAAGGUUAACCGUAUAGGGGAGCCGAAGGGAAACCGAGUCUUAACUGGGCGUUAAGUUGCAGGGUAUAGACCCGAAACCCGGUGAUCUAGCCAUGGGCAGGUUGAAGGUUGGGUAACACUAACUGGAGGACCGAACCGACUAAUGUUGAAAAAUUAGCGGAUGACCUGUGGCUGGGGGUGAAAGGCCAAUCAAACCGGGAGAUAGCUGGUUCUCCCCGAAAGCUAUUUAGGUAGCGCCUCGUGAACUCAUCUUCGGGGGUAGAGCACUGUUUCGGCUAGGGGGCCAUCCCGGCUUACCAACCCGAUGCAAACUACGAAUACCGAAGAAUGUUAUCACGGGAGACACACGGCGGGUGCUAACGUCCGUCGUGAAGAGGGAAACAACCCAGACCGCCAGCUAAGGUCCCAAAGUCAUGGUUAAGUGGGAAACGAUGUGGGAAGGCACAGACAGCCAGGAUGUUGGCUUAGAAGCAGCCAUCAUUUAAAGAAAGCGUAAUAGCUCACUGGUCGAGUCGGCCUGCGCGGAAGAUGUAACGGGGCUAAACCAUGCACCGAAGCUGCGGCAGCGACACUAUGUGUUGUUGGGUAGGGGAGCGUUCUGUAAGCCGUUGAAGGUGUGCUGUGAGGCAUGCUGGAGGUAUCAGAAGUGCGAAUGCUGACAUAAGUAACGAUAAAGCGGGUGAAAAGCCCGCUCGCCGGAAGACCAAGGGUUCCUGUCCAACGUUAAUCGGGGCAGGGUGAGUCGACCCCUAAGGCGAGGCCGAAAGGCGUAGUCGAUGGGAAACAGGUUAAUAUUCCUGUACUUGGUGUUACUGCGAAGGGGGGACGGAGAAGGCUAUGUCAGCCGGGCGACGGUUGUCCCGGUUUAAGCAUGUAGGCGGAGGUUCCAGGUAAAUCCGGUACCUUGUUAACGCUGAGGUGUGAUGACGAGGCACUACGGUGCUGAAGUGAUAAAUGCCCUGCUUCCAGGAAAAGCCUCUAAGCAUCAGGUAACACGAAAUCGUACCCCAAACCGACACAGGUGGUCAGGUAGAGAAUACCAAGGCGCUUGAGAGAACUCGGGUGAAGGAACUAGGCAAAAUGGUGCCGUAACUUCGGGAGAAGGCACGCUGAUGUGUAGGUGAAGCCCCUGCGGGCGGAGCUGAAAUCAGUCGAAGAUACCAGCUGGCUGCAACUGUUUAUUAAAAACACAGCACUGUGCAAACACGAAAGUGGACGUAUACGGUGUGACGCCUGCCCGGUGCCGGAAGGUUAAUUGAUGGGGUUAGCGGCAACGCGAAGCUCUUGAUCGAAGCCCCGGUAAACGGCGGCCGUAACUAUAACGGUCCUAAGGUAGCGAAAUUCCUUGUCGGGUAAGUUCCGACCUGCACGAAUGGCGUAAUGAUGGCCAGGCUGUCUCCACCCGAGACUCAGUGAAAUUGAACUCGCUGUGAAGAUGCAGUGUACCCGCGGCAAGACGGAAAGACCCCGUGAACCUUUACUAUAGCUUGACACUGAACACUGGUCCUUGAUGUGUAGGAUAGGUGGGAGGCUUUGAAGCGUGGACGCCAGUCUGCGUGGAGCCAACCUUGAAAUACCACCCUUUAAUGGCUGGUGUUCUAACGUAGACCCGUAAUCCGGGUUGCGGACAGUGUCUGGUGGGUAGUUUGACUGGGGCGGUCUCCUCCCAAAGAGUAACGGAGGAGCACGAAGGUUGGCUAAUCCUGGUCGGACAUCAGGAGGUUAGUGCAAUGGCAUAAGCCAGCUUGACUGCGAGCGUGACGGCGCGAGCAGGUGCGAAAGCAGGUCAUAGUGAUCCGGUGGUUCUGAAUGGAAGGGCCAUCGCUCAACGGAUAAAAGGUACUCCGGGGAUAACAGGCUGAUACCGCCCAAGAGUUCAUAUCGACGGCGGUGUUUGGCACCUCGAUGUCGGCUCAUCACAUCCUGGGGCUGAAGUAGGUCCCAAGGGUAUGGCUGUUCGCCAUUUAAAGUGGUACGCGAGCUGGGUUUAGAACGUCGUGAGACAGUUCGGUCCCUAUCUGCCGUGGGCGCUGGAGAAUUGAGGGGGGCUGCUCCUAGUACGAGAGGACCGGAGUGGACGCAUCACUGGUGUUCGGGUUGUCAUGCCAAUGGCACUGCCCGGUAGCUAAAUGCGGAAGAGAUAAGUGCUGAAAGCAUCUAAGCACGAAACUUGCCCCGAGAUGAGUUCU
This 2688-nucleotide ribosomal RNA is filed under the name Enterobacter hormaechei subsp. steigerwaltii. RNAcentral describes it as "bacterial LSU rRNA". It matches the Rfam family "Bacterial large subunit ribosomal RNA". Lineage: Bacteria; Pseudomonadati; Pseudomonadota; Gammaproteobacteria; Enterobacterales; Enterobacteriaceae. The record is from RNAcentral.